Molecule: ribosomal RNA, 411 nt
Filed under: uncultured bacterium
Lineage: Bacteria
Description: bacterial SSU rRNA
Rfam family: Bacterial small subunit ribosomal RNA
Source: RNAcentral
UGAGGAAUAUUGGGCAAUGCCCGCAAGGGUGACCCAGCAACGCCGCGUGGAGGAUGAAUGUCGUAAGAUUGUAAACUCCUGUUAGAGGGGAAGAAUAGUACCGGUUGGACCGGUAUAUGACUGUACCCUCAGAGAAAGCACCGGCUAACUCCGUGCCAGCAGCCGCGGUAAUACGGAGGGUGCGAGCGUUAUCCGGAUUUACUGGGUUUAAAGGGUGCGUAGUUGGGCUUAUAAGUCAGUGGUGAAAUCUCCGAGCUUAACUUGGAAACUGCCGUUGAUACUAGAGGUCUUGAAUUAUCUGGAGGUGAGCGUAAUAUGUGAUGUAGCGGUGAAAUGCUUAGAUAUGACAUAGAACACCAAUUGCGAAGUCAGCUUACUACAUAUAAAUUGACGCUGAGGCACGAAAGCGUG